AUCCGUGCGCUUUGAGGCUUUGGUAUGGCUCACGUGUCACACAAAGGGGAUGAAAAGAAUGGCGUGAAACACCUCGUGCAAGUGAAAAAAACCCCACCCCUAAUUUGGACUCUUGCUAUCUCCCAAUUCUUCCCCUGGCCUCUCCUCUCUCUGUCUCAGAAAGACAGUGGCGGACGGGCCGAGCACAAUGCAACGCCGCUGCCGAUGCGUGCCUGAGGUAAGCUCCUUGCUCCUUCUCUCUCUGUUCCCUCUCAUGGCUUCUCCCUUUAGACCUUGUUUAGUUCCUAAAAUUUUUUGUUUUGGGACACUAUAGCAAUUUUGUUUUUAUUUGAUAAAUAUUAUCCAAUCAUUAACUAGGCUCAAAAGAUUCAUCUCACAAUUUACAAAUAAACUGUGCAAUUAGUUUUUGUUUUCAUUUAUAUUUAAUGCUCCAUGCAUAUGCCCCAAAAUUCGAUUUGACGGAGAAUCUUAAAAAAUUUUGGCUACUUUUUGAGAACUAAACAAGGCCUAAUUUGCUUCCCACACAGAGUCAUGCGUCAUGGCGCCGGCCAUGGAAGAGAUUCCAGUUCUGGCAGAUCCAGCAGCCAUGAGCCGGCGAGGUUCCAGUGAAGGGUGGCCCAACACAGGCAAGGUCCACAGCGGCUUCACUUCCCUUAGAUCUAGCAAGGUGAGCCCCUUCUCCUCUAGUCCUCCCCAUGCAUGUCUAUGGUGGGGUCUAGUUAGGUGAGCCCUGGCUUCUCCUCACGUAGGUCCAUAGCAUUGCAGCCACGCAUAAGAUACUCGCCCAUCGAGGAAGAUGCCAGGAUCUAUUAGAUCCAUGGCAUGGAGGCACCACAACCCCCACGAGAUCUGUGUUUCCAAUGUUCCCCAUUCAACAGUUAUAAGUAUCUGGCCAUAUACAUGAGGGAAAAGUUAAAUAUGUACCACGUAAAACCUUGCUUAUUGUCUCAAUAUGCCUUGUUUGAAAAGUCCAGAUCUGCAAAGUAUGGAGAUAGUUGUGUGUAUUUUUAUUAUUUGAAUAGAUAAUGUCUUUCUCAACUAUUUUUCUGAUUUAAUUUGUUAUGCUAUAUCUCACUGAUGCAGACAACCCUAUUAUCUAGUUACUCACAAGCUGACACAAUAAAGAGAUACCACCAUGUGACAUGCCUCAGGGAAAGAAAGUGCAUGGUAAGAUUAUCAUCUUAAUUUUUUAUCUAGUUCUUCUGCUAAAUGUUGCCAAAGCCUAUAUCAAGCUGAUUUAGGUAAUUUAUUUACCUUUAUAUAGAGUGCUAGUACACUGAAUUUUAUUUGAGUAAUCUUCCCUGCAACUACAAGUGUUCAUUGAUGAUAAUGCAAGCAAACACACUGGUAUCCUCUUGUGUUGCGCAGCAGCAUUUUGCAUUCAUCCAGUGAUUGUCUUUGAUGACAUCUAUCUGGUAUGAUGCAUGAAGCUUGCUUGGUUUGGGUUUUUUUCUGGUGUGUGCAAGUACUCUUCCAUAGUUAUUUUUAGUAUGUGAUUUCUUUACAGUUUUGUUUGUUUUGGAAGAAGAAAAUGACAUGGUAAGAUUAGGCUACCAUGGGUCAAGACUGAAUAUUCUUAUUCUUUUUGGUGUCCAGGCAUAUAGUAGCUGGUUAUUUAUUCUUAAGUUAUUGCAGAACAAUUAGCACCUGUCAUCUUUCAGCAAUAGUAAGUGUUCAAUUGUUAGAUUAAUCUGAGCAUGCCUGGGAUUAGUGAAUGGUCAAUAUAUAGUACUGCUCUCUAUGAUCUAUAGUACUUAAUUUGCCAAUAUACUGUAGUACUCUCUAUGGUCACUCUUUUAAUUCAGAGACAUUGCACAAGCAAUCAUCUAUGCAGGCCUGUGACAUGAUGGAAUUGAAAAUUUUGUAGCUUUUAGAACUUGUGAGAUCUAGCCAGUUAAACUUUGUUCUACAGGAACAUUUAACAAGCUGCCUUAUGUCACACCUCAUGUGGGAUUGGAUUGUGAUUAGAAAGUAUGUAACUAAUUUAGCACAAGCAAUCAUCUAUGCAGGCUUUAUGUCGCACCCUAUGUUUCAGGUGCUGUGGAAAACAGUGGACAGCGCCUUCAGUUGUGGAGAGAAAUGGGCUCUGAUGGAAGAAGAUAUAAGCAUUUGAGCAAGCAGGUCUCCCACCUGGUUCAAGAGAAGGAUACAUGAGCUAGCAGUUGCAUAAUGUGAGUCCUAAUUUUGCUUGACGCCCAAUCCAUAAUUUUGUUAGUAAUUCUACUACUUAAGAAUUGAUGUUUCCUCCCAGUAAAGAUGCUUUCCAAGGAACAAUAUCAAACUGAAUAUUCACAAAGACUUGUCUCUAGUUAUUACUGUUGUUAUGUAGGCCAUGGUACUUCACAGAAAUUAGGUCCAGUGCAGAUUUAUAUGAAGUCCAGUUAGCUGCUGAGAUAACUCCUUGCUUUUAGUAGACAACACAUUUUUUUAUGAAUUCCUAGUCACCUGGUCACUACUUUGAUGCAAUCAUGCAAUUAUCACUUGUUCAUGUACCUGCAAUCUAGUGGUUGUCUUUUGCUUGUAAAGCGAGCUUCACUAACCAAGAAAAACAUUGCUAACUUACUCAUUUUGAACCCAGCACAAGUUUUCCAUAAGCACUGUGACAUGAUCUCUCAUGCAUGCUUAUUUUUAUCUUGUUUUCAAUGUAGGAUAUGGAGAUGAAUGGAUGUGUAGCAGAUAAUGUGUAUUGCUGUUGAAGGGCUUGUAGGAAGUAGGAAUUAAACUUCUAUUUCCUAUAUGUUAGUUGCAUGAACUAUAUAUAGCACUGCAACUUCGGUUUGCUUUAUUUUGCAAGGCCUUUACAAUGUAGCUUAAGAUUCACUGACAUUGUAUGAACGACUUCAAUGAUGAUUAUAUGUAUCAAACACUAGUGUAACAUUUAAUGUUGAUUGGCGUGUGGACGCAUAGUUAAAUCAAUGAUAUAAAUAGUUCAAUGAGC
RNAcentral lists this long non-coding RNA (2938 nucleotides) under Sorghum bicolor (sorghum). RNAcentral describes it as "long non-coding RNA (SBIC_LNC014779)". Lineage: Eukaryota; Viridiplantae; Streptophyta; Magnoliopsida; Poales; Poaceae. The record is from RNAcentral.